UCCUACGGGAGGCAGCAGUGGGGAAUAUUGCACAAUGGGCGCAAGCCUGAUGCAGCAACGCCGCGUGAGGGACGAAGGCCUUCGGGUUGUAAACCUCUUUUAGUAGGGAAGAAGCGACUGGGUUUUCCUGGGAGUGACGGUACCUGCAGAAAAAGCACCGGCUAACUACGUGCCAGCAGCCGCGGUAAUACGUAGGGUGCAAGCGUUGUCCGGAAUUAUUGGGCGUAAAGAGCUCGUAGGCGGUUUGUCGCGUCUGCUGUGAAAACCCGAGGCUCAACCUCGGGCCUGCAGUGGGUACGGGCAGACUAGAGUGCGGUAGGGGAGAUUGGAAUUCCUGGUGUAGCGGUGGAAUGCGCAGAUAUCAGGAGGAACACCAAUGGCGAAGGCAGAUCUCUGGGCCGUAACUGACGCUGAGGAGCGAAAGCAUGGGGAGCGAACAGGAUUAGAUACCCUGGUAGUCCAUGCCGUAAACGUUGGGAACUAGAUGUGGGGACCAUUCCACGGUCUCCGUGUCGCAGCUAACGCAUUAAGUUCCCCGCCUGGGGAGUACGGCCGCAAGGCUAAAACUCAAAGGAAUUGACGGGGGCCCGCACAAGCGGCGGAGCAUGCGGAUUAAUUCGAUGCAACGCGAAGAACCUUACCAAGGCUUGACAUAUACCGGAAACGGCUGGAAACAGUCGCCCCGCAAGGUCGGUAUACAGGUGGUGCAUGGUUGUCGUCAGCUCGUGUCGUGAGAUGUUGGGUUAGGUCCCGCAACGAGCGCAACCCUCGUCCUAUGUUGCCAGCACGUAAUGGUGGGAACUCAUGGGAUACUGCCGGGGUCAACUCGGAGGAAGGUGGGGAUGACGUCAAAUCAUCAUGCCCCUUAUGUCUUGGGCUUCACGCAUGCUACAAUGGCCGGUACAAAGGGCUGCGAUACCGCAAGGUGGAGCGAAUCCCAAAAAGCCGGUCUCAGUUCGGAUUGAGGUCUGCAGCUCGACCUCAUGAAGUCGGAGUCGCUAGUAAUCGCAGAUCAGCAACGCUGCGGUGAAUACGUUCCCGGGCCUUGUACACACCGC
RNAcentral lists this ribosomal RNA (1058 nucleotides) under uncultured Cryobacterium sp. RNAcentral describes it as "bacterial SSU rRNA". It matches the Rfam family "Bacterial small subunit ribosomal RNA", at positions 337 to 1393 of the family's 1533-position model. Lineage: Bacteria; Bacillati; Actinomycetota; Actinomycetes; Micrococcales; Microbacteriaceae. The record is from RNAcentral.